RNAcentral lists this ribosomal RNA (406 nucleotides) under uncultured bacterium. RNAcentral's name for it is "partial 16S ribosomal RNA". It matches the Rfam family "Bacterial small subunit ribosomal RNA", at positions 30 to 526 of the family's 1533-position model. The record is from RNAcentral.
AUUGAACGCUGGCGGCAGGCCUAACACAUGCAAGUCGAACGAGUGGCGGACGGGUGAGUAAUGUCUGGGAAACUGCCUGAUGGAGGGGGAUAACUACUGGAAACGGUAGCUAAUACCGCAUACCAUCAGAUGUGCCCAGAUGGGAUUCGCUUGUUGGUGGGGUAAGGGCUCACCAGGGCAACGAUCCCUAGCUGGCCUGAGAGGAUGACCAGCCAACCUGGAACUGAGACACUGUCACGACGCCUACGGGAGGCAGCAGUGGGGAAUAUGUCACAAUGGGCGCAAGCGUGAUGCAGCCAUGCCGCGUGGAUGCAGAAGGGCUUCGGGUUGUAAAGUACUUUCAGCGGGGAGGCGUUACCCGCAGAAGAAGCACCGGCUAACUCCGUGCCAGCAGCCGCGGUAAUUC